Molecule: transfer RNA, 82 nt
Filed under: Minisyncoccota bacterium
Lineage: Bacteria; Bacillati; Minisyncoccota
Description: tRNA-Leu
Rfam family: tRNA
About the family: Transfer RNA (tRNA) molecules are approximately 80 nucleotides in length. Their secondary structure includes four short double-helical elements and three loops (D, anti-codon, and T loops).
Source: RNAcentral
GCCCUGGUGAUGGAAUGGUAGACAUAGGGGACUUAAAAUCCCCAGGCCGUAGGCCGUGCGAGUUCGAGUCUCGCCCGGGGCA